GAUCAUGGCUCAGGAUGAACGCUAGCGACAGGCUUAACACAUGCAAGUCGAGGGGCAUCAUGAGGUAGCAAUACCUUGAUGGCGACCGGCGCACGGGUGAGUAACGCGUGGGUAACCCGCCUCAUACAGGGGGAUAGCAGCUGGAAACGGCUGAUAAAACCGCAUAAGCGCACAGCAUCGCAUGAUGCAGUGUGAAAAACUCCGGUGGU
RNAcentral lists this ribosomal RNA (209 nucleotides) under uncultured bacterium. Its description in RNAcentral is "partial 16S ribosomal RNA". It matches the Rfam family "Bacterial small subunit ribosomal RNA", at positions 15 to 219 of the family's 1533-position model. The record is from RNAcentral.